AGUGAACGCUGGCGGUAGGCCUAACACAUGCAAGUCGAACGGCAGCACAGUAAGAGCUUGCUCUUACGGGUGGCGAGUGGCGGACGGGUGAGGAAUACAUCGGAAUCUACUUUUUCGUGGGGGAUAACGUAGGGAAACUUACGCUAAUACCGCAUACGACCUACGGGUGAAAGCAGGGGAUCUUCGGACCUUGCGCGAUUGAAUGAGCCGAUGUCGGAUUAGCUAGUUGGCGGGGUAAAGGCCCACCAAGGCGACGAUCCGUAGCUGGUCUGAGAGGAUGAUCAGCCACACUGGACCUGAGACACGGUCCAGACUCCUACGGGAGGCAGCAGUGGGGAAUAUUGGACAAUGGGCGCAACCCUGAUCCAGCCAUACCGCGUGGGUGAAGAAGGCCUUCGGGUUGUAAAGCCCUUUUGUUGGGAAAGAAAAGCAGCAGGUUAAUACCCCGCUGUUCUGACGGUACCCAAAGAAUAAACACCGGCUAACUUCGU
This 491-nucleotide ribosomal RNA is filed under the name uncultured bacterium. RNAcentral's name for it is "partial 16S ribosomal RNA". It matches the Rfam family "Bacterial small subunit ribosomal RNA", at positions 29 to 506 of the family's 1533-position model. The record is from RNAcentral.